RNAcentral lists this ribosomal RNA (397 nucleotides) under uncultured bacterium. RNAcentral's name for it is "partial 16S ribosomal RNA". It matches the Rfam family "Bacterial small subunit ribosomal RNA", at positions 523 to 918 of the family's 1533-position model. The record is from RNAcentral.
AUACGUAGGGGGCGAGCGUUGUCAGGAAUGAUUGGGCGUAAAGGGCGCGUAGGCGGCGCGGUAAGUCUGGAGUGAAAGUCCUGCUUUCAAGGUGGGAAUUGCUUUGGAUACUGCCGCGCUUGAGUGCAGGAGAGGUUAUCGGAAUUCCCGGUGUAGCGGUGAAAUGCGUAGAGAUCGGGAGGAACACCAGUGGCGAAGGCGGGUAACUGGACUGCAACUGACGCUGAGGCGCGAAAGUGUGGGGAGCAAACAGGAUUAGAUACCCUGGUAGUCCACACUGUAAACGAUGAAUGCUAGGUGUAAGAGGUAUCGACCCCUUUUGUGCCGGAGUCAACACAAUAAGCAUUCCGCCUGGGGAGUACGGCCGCAAGGUUGAAACUCAAAGGAAUUGACGGGG